UGCUGCUACAGCAAUCUGGUUUAUCCUCACAUGUCAAACCUUCCAUCUUGCUUCACUUUCUCUAUGGGACUCUGAAACUGCCAGUCUGCUGUGAGAAAAGCUGACUUCAUACCAGCCUACGCCUCCCAUCUCUCACUGGACCUCCUGGCCCUAACUGAAACCUGGAUCACCCUAGACAACUCAGUCACACCUGCAGCACUCUCCACUAACUAUUCCUUCUCUCACACCUCUCGUUCCUCUGGCAGAGGUGGAGGCACAGGCCUGCUUAUCUGGUGGGAAUAUUCUGUUCUCUCUCUUCACCUGCAUGAUCUGUCUUCCUUUGAAUGCCAUGCUGUCUCUAUCACUGCCCCAGUCACUCUUGUUGUGGUUGUCUUUUAUCACUCUCCUGGUCCUCUUGGUAGCUUCCUGGAUGACCUUGACAUCUUGUUGAGCUCUCUGCCAGGGGAAAACACUCCGUUGAUUCUCCUGGGUGAUUUCAACCUGCAUGUUGAUGACAUUCAUGCAAGCGGCCUUCUGUUGCUCCUGCAGUCCUUUGAUCUCUCCCUAUCCCAAUCCCCUGCUACUCACAAAGCGGGCAACUGUCUUGACCUUGUAUUUUUCCGCAACUGUGGCUGUUCCGUUCUCUCUGUCAUGCUGCUGCAUGUCUCUGACCACUUCUUCAUUUCCUUUCAACCCUCCCUCACCACUAACUCUUCGUCUCUUCCUGCACCCAUUGUCACCUUUCACCGCAACUUAAUCUCUCUCACCUUUCUGCUUUUCCUCUGCUACUCUGGCCGCUCUCCCUUCUGCUCCACAAUUCUCAGAUCUAUCUACAGGUGAUGUCACUAACACUUUCCUCUCUGCUCUAUCUUCCACCCUUGACUCUCUCUGUUCUCUGUCCUCUAGACCAGCAUGCCCCAUUGCUACCCCAUAGCUGUCUGAUAUGUUACAUGCUGACAGGACAAAACUGAGGGCUGCAGAGCGAAGAUGACAUAAAUUCAAAAUUCCAUCGGACCUGGAUGCUUACCAGUCACUCUUAGCUGCUUUUCAGUCUGCUCUUUCUUCAGCUAAAACCUCCUUCUUCCACAACAAAAUACAGUCUGC
This 1083-nucleotide long non-coding RNA is filed under the name Scleropages formosus (Asian bonytongue). RNAcentral describes it as "lncRNA (ENSSFOG00015028527.1)". Lineage: Eukaryota; Metazoa; Chordata; Actinopteri; Osteoglossiformes; Osteoglossidae. The record is from RNAcentral.